RNAcentral lists this ribosomal RNA (473 nucleotides) under uncultured soil bacterium. RNAcentral's name for it is "bacterial SSU rRNA". It matches the Rfam family "Bacterial small subunit ribosomal RNA", at positions 26 to 478 of the family's 1533-position model. The record is from RNAcentral.
AGGAUGAACGCUAGCGGCAGGCUUAACACAUGCAAGUCGAGGGGCAGCACGUCUUCGGAUGGUGGCGACCGGCGCACGGGUGAGUAACGCGUAUGCAAUCUACCUUUUACUGGGGCAUAGCCCGGGGGAAACCCGGAUUAAUAUCCCAUGGUACCAUGAUAUAGCAUUAUAUUUUGGUUAAAAGCUUCGGCGGUAAAAAGAUGAGCAUGCGUCCUAUUAGCUUGAUGGGUAAGGUAACGGCUUACCAUGGCUUUGAUAGGUAGGGGUCCUGAGAGGGACGACCCCCCACACUGGUACUGAGACACGGACCAGACUCCGUACGGGAGGCAGCAGUGAGGAAUAGUUGGACAAGUGGGCGAGAGCCUGAUCCAGCCAGUGCCGCGUGCGAAGGAACGCCGGCCCUAGUGGGUUAGUAAACUGUACUUUUAAGAACGGAAAGAACACCUCCCGUAGUGGAAGGUAUUAGACGGUAC